GAUGAAGAACGUAGCGAAAUGCGAUAAGUAAUGUGAAUUGCAGAAUUCAGUGAAUCAUCGAAUCUUUGAACGCACAUUGCGCCCGCCAGCAUUCUGGCGGGCAUGCCUGUCCGAGCGUCAUUUCAACCAUCAGGGUCCCUCCGCCUCGCGCGGUCGGAGCCUGGUGUUGGGGAUCGGCCCGCCCCGCGCGGCGCCGUCCCCCAAAUACAGUGGCGGUCCCGCCGCAGCCUCCCCUGCGCAGUAGUUAUCAACUCGCACUGGAGCGCGGCGCGGCCACGCCGUAAAACCCCGACUUUUAGAAAGUUGACCUCGGAUCAGGUAGGAAUACCCGCUGAACUUAAGCAUAUCAAUAAGCGGAGGA
This 361-nucleotide unclassified non-coding RNA is filed under the name soil metagenome. RNAcentral describes it as "partial contains 5.8S ribosomal RNA, internal transcribed spacer 2, and large subunit ribosomal RNA". The stretch from base 1 to 120 matches the Rfam family "5.8S ribosomal RNA", at positions 35 to 154 of the family's 154-position model. The record is from RNAcentral.